ACUCUCAGCAACGGAUAUCUUGGCUCUUGCAUCGAUGAAGAACGCAGCGAAAUGCGAUACGUAGUGUGAAUUGCAGAAUUCCGCGAAUCAUCGAGUCUUUGAACGCAAGUUGCGCCCGAGGCUUGUCCGAGGGCUUCCGCUAGAGCGUCACCGCGCCCC
This 159-nucleotide ribosomal RNA is filed under the name Bryhnia scabrida. RNAcentral's name for it is "5.8S ribosomal RNA". It matches the Rfam family "5.8S ribosomal RNA". From Rfam's summary of the family: 5.8S ribosomal RNA (5.8S rRNA) is a component of the large subunit of the eukaryotic ribosome. Lineage: Eukaryota; Viridiplantae; Streptophyta; Bryopsida; Hypnales; Brachytheciaceae. The record is from RNAcentral.